ACGAGACAAGUGACCACACGGCGGAGUGUGACCGAUAAACUGGUCGUGGACGACGUCGAGCGCAGCUCUCGGCCCGUCCGCCAAUGAUCAGCCAGCAGCCGCUGCAACCACAGGGAG
Molecule: small RNA, 117 nt
Filed under: Streptomyces silvensis
Lineage: Bacteria; Bacillati; Actinomycetota; Actinomycetes; Kitasatosporales; Streptomycetaceae
Description: Streptomyces-metK RNA
Rfam family: Streptomyces-metK RNA
Source: Rfam by way of RNAcentral